UACCAACGGUUUCAUUACAUAAUUUAAACAGGAUUAUUCAUUCUGCCGACAUAUUAAUAUCACACAUCACUUGUAUUUUGUUGGUCAAUACAAUACAGAAGCCUUGGUAGCAAUGACAUUUAUUAAGCAGGAGCAAAUCGGUAACCAAGCAUAACAUACACACAUCGCAGCUCAGUUCAUAUACAUGCAUCUGCAGAAAUGGAAAACGAAAUCCUGGGUUCAACUCUAUCCUGCUUUUACCUUCUCAUCAAAAGUAAACAGUGUAGUUGUUGAAGAGAUGAAACUGUCUACUCAGCUUUCCAAGAUGACAAUGGAGGGGUCUCAGACUCCUUCCAAGUACUAGCCAUUGGAGGACCCUGAACAUCACCUGCAGCCGCGUAAGACUCGAGUUCAGCCAUUUCCUCUGGUGUGAGCUUCACAGCUAAUGCUCCCACAUUUUGGUUGAAAUUUUCAAUUUUUGUUGUCCCAGGGAUGGGGCAAACAUCGCUUCCCUGAUGGUGAACCCAAGCCAAGGCAAGUUGUGAUGGUGUGCAUCCUUUCCUUGUGGCCAUCGCAUCAACACGCUCAAAUAUCUGGGCAUUCUUCUCGAGACUCUCUGGUUGAAAUCUAGGUAAAUUCUGUAGAAGUAUAAAGUUAUCAGUAAAAGAUCAAACUGGUAGUACAAGUUCCACCUCAGUUUUAUAGGAGAAAUGGACAAGUCUUGUAUGUACACUCAUGCCAGUUCACAAAAAACUGUGAUUUUAGACAAUGAUAUGGUCCUCGCAGCAUUUUUAUUAUAAUAUACUUUGUUACCAGUAGCUUUACAAGUUCAAAUGCUAGUUGACAAAAAUUGUUGAAUUUGAUCCCCCAGAUGCGCUACGAGGUCAUGCUCCAACGUGACGCGGAGGCGCUCCGGCUCGAGGAGGAGGAGGAGGGGCGCGCGCGGCUGGCCGCAAUGCCGCCGCCCUGACAGCGUACCAGGCGGCGUUCGGGUGGACUGGCCCUGCUCAGGUUUUCAUCGACCUCACCGACGACGACGGCGUCGACGACAAGGGCAAGGGCAAGGCCGACAACGUCUAGGGCAGCGUGCGGGGCGGCAGCAGGCGGGCGCAGACUUUUUUAAUGUUUUAUUUAAUGUUUAAUUAGAUCUAAGUAGACUUUGGCCGGAGUUUGACCGGCCACUUAUGUUUAAUUAUGUUUAUUUCGUGCAACCUUUUUGUUUAUUUUCCACGCCAGCACAUUUGGAUCGGUCUUUUCGUUGGACGGUCAAGCCGACCCAUUUUAAAAUACGGAUGUGCACAUCCGCCUGGCCGGUCCAAGCGGACAAAGCGCGUAUCCGUUUGGAUCGCCCUGGUAGAGUUGCUCUAAACGCUCUUAUAUUUCCUUACGGACGAAGUACUUUUACGGUGCUCCAGAACCAAGCUAAAACAAGCAUCGAGGCUACCAGCAUAAAGGCAGUCUUCGGCCCUAUCUUCCAAACUGGAUUGUUUGGGCAUGUAAAGGCUGAACUAUCUAUGGUAACCACUGUUGGUCUCUGCACCACUGCACAUACUCUACCAACGGUUUCAUUACAUAAUUUAAACAGGAUUAUUCAUUCUGCCGACAUAUUAAUAUCACACAUCACUUGUAUUUUGUUGGUCAAUACAAUACAGAAGCCUUGGUAGCAAUGACAUUUAUUAAGCAGGAGCAAAUCGGCAACCAAGCAUAACAUACACACAUCGCAGCUCAGUUCAUAUACAUGCAUCUGCAGAAAUGGAAAACAAAUCCUGGGUUCAACUCUACCCUGCUUUUACCUUCUCAUCAAAAGUAAACAGUGUAGUUGUUGAAGAGAUGAAACUGUCUACUCAGCUUUCCAAGAUGACAAUGGAGGGGUCUCAGACUCCUUCCAAGUACUAGCCAUUGGAGGGUACC
Molecule: long non-coding RNA, 1890 nt
Filed under: Triticum aestivum (bread wheat)
Lineage: Eukaryota; Viridiplantae; Streptophyta; Magnoliopsida; Poales; Poaceae
Description: long non-coding RNA (TAES_LNC020846)
Source: RNAcentral